AUCCCAGGACGCUGUGCUUCUUUUUCUCUCACGAGGGUUCUCAUCCCAGGCAUCAAAAAAAAAAAAAAAACCAUGGUGCUCCUUUCUCUCUCACAGGCGUGCUGGUCCCAAGAAAAAGACCGCACGAGGAGCUUGUACUUUCUUCUCUCUCACACCGCACUAAUUCCAGGAAAAAGACCGUGCGAGGAGCAAAAAUAUCGUGAUCUCAGGGGAAAAAAACCACAUGCGGAAAGG
Molecule: long non-coding RNA, 234 nt
Filed under: Elaeis guineensis (African oil palm)
Lineage: Eukaryota; Viridiplantae; Streptophyta; Magnoliopsida; Arecales; Arecaceae
Description: long non-coding RNA (EGUI_LNC038310)
Source: RNAcentral